UACGUAGGUGACCAGCGUUGUCCGGAUUUACUGGGCGUAAAGAGCGCGCAGGCGGUCGUUCAAGUCGAGUGUGAAAGCCCCCGGCUCAACUGGGGAGGGUCAUUCGAUACUGAUCGACUCGAAGGCAGGAGAGGGAAGCGGAAUUCCCGGUGUAGUGGUGAAAUGCGUAGAUAUCAGGAGGAACACCUGUGGUGUAGACAGCUUACUGGACCACUUCUGACGCUGAGACACGAAAGCGUGGGUAGCAAACAGG
This 253-nucleotide ribosomal RNA is filed under the name uncultured bacterium. RNAcentral describes it as "partial 16S ribosomal RNA". It matches the Rfam family "Bacterial small subunit ribosomal RNA", at positions 524 to 776 of the family's 1533-position model. The record is from RNAcentral.